This 185-nucleotide ribosomal RNA is filed under the name uncultured bacterium. Its description in RNAcentral is "partial 16S ribosomal RNA". It matches the Rfam family "Bacterial small subunit ribosomal RNA", at positions 521 to 705 of the family's 1533-position model. The record is from RNAcentral.
UAAUACAGAGGGUGCGAGCGUUGUCCGGAAUCACUGGGCGUAAAGGGCGCGUAGGUGGCUUGCCAAGCGUGUGGUGAAAGCCCGGAGCUCAACUCCGGGUCGGCCAUGCGAACUGGCAGGCUAGAGCACGGUAGAGGCCAAUGGAAUUCCGGGUGUAGCGGUGGAAUGCGUAGAGAUCCGGAAGA